GAUGAACGCUGGCGGCGUGCCUAAUACAUGCAAGUCGAGCGAACAGAUGAGGAGCUUGCUCCUCUGACGUUAGCGGCGGACGGGUGAGUAACACGUGGAUAACCUACCUAUAAGACUGGGAUGACUUCGGGAAACCGGAGCUAAUACCGGAUAAUAUAUUGAACCGCAUGGUUCAAUAGUGAAAGACGGUUUUGCUGUCACUUAUAGAUGGAUCCGCGCCGCAUUAGCUAGUUGGUAAGGUAACGGCUUACCAAGGCGACGAUGCGUAGCCGACCUGAGAGGGUGAUCGGCCACACUGGAACUGAGACACGGUCCAGACUCCUACGGGAGGCAGCAGUAGGGAAUCUUCCGCAAUGGGCGAAAGCCUGACGGAGCAACGCCGCGUGAGUGAUGAAGGUCUUCGGAUCGUAAAACUCUGUUAUUAGGGAAGAACAAAUGUGUAAGUAACUAUGCACGUCUUGACGGUACCUAAUCAGAAAGCCACGGCUAACUACGUG
RNAcentral lists this ribosomal RNA (497 nucleotides) under uncultured bacterium. Its description in RNAcentral is "partial 16S ribosomal RNA". It matches the Rfam family "Bacterial small subunit ribosomal RNA", at positions 28 to 507 of the family's 1533-position model. The record is from RNAcentral.